GGUUGCUUAUAAAAUGAUAAAAUAGUCGUGAUGUGAGGUCCGACAAUGGUUUGUAAUUUUGGUUUCAUCCCCAACCUCUCCAGCUAGCUUCUUCUUCACAUCAUAUCAUAUUUGCCCCUGCUGCUACAUCAUGGAUUGGAUGGUCACCUACUAGCUAAGUUGCUUAGCAUGUAUUGCCAUCGAAUUGGUCAAUACUGUUUCACUUUGCUUGUUUCUUGUACUAGGUCUGUCAGUUACAGCAUAAACAAACAAAUUGCUUAGCUCUCAACUAUGAAUACAUAGCUAGCUAAACUUGUUCUUUCUUUCUUUCUUUAGAGCUAUGACUUAUAUGGAUCAAGCUACUGUUUUGCUGUACUCAAUGAUACUAUUGCUGCAUGUAUACUGAUACAUGUGGUGAUAUUUUCCUGAACUUAAGUUGUGAAUGUACAAUUAGUUUCCUGCUGCUACUUAUCCCUGGCUCACCUGUUCUAGUUGGUUUCAAUUGAUGUUUGUCUCAUCUAGCACUCUGACUAUAAAUUUGUUGUUUUAAUCCUGAUGAUAUUGUAGUAUAAGGUGGAACACCAUAUUCCUGUUCUAAUCCAAAAGGAAUAAAGCAAUCAUGUUUGUUUGCUUGGUGCGUGUCGAUCUCAAAAUGGCGGACAAAACAUGACAAGUGAACACUUGCGGCUCUGUUUCCUGUUCCCUUUUGUAGUUUCUUGAUUUAUUUGCAUAUGCAGCACAUCAUCUUGAAUACCAUCUGUUUGUAUAUGCUUAGGGUAUGCAUGAUGCCUAUGCUCUGUAUUAGAUCAGUAUGUUAAUAUUAGUAGGCAUAUAUCCAUGUAUGAGUAGUGCAUUGUGCAGUUGGCCAUAUUCUAGCUCAUAUGGAACUUCCUGUGAUAUGGUGCAGUCCUGUUUUGUUUCAUUGAUUGCUUUUAUUUUGUCCCUAACCAUUUUUUUGUUCUAUAACAUGUAGAUGCUGGCGUUCGUUCAUGUUUCGUCGCAAGCUCUAGGAUGAAGAAGUGAAGAAGCAUUUAUUUCUAGCUCAUUGGAGCUAGUUAUACUUUUAUAGAUAUUUAGUUGAAACACUCAAUUUAGUUGUGUUCUUGGUGGCUGUAAACCUGAUGUGAAGUAUGUUCAAUUAUAAACGUGGUUUGAACUAUGUUUGAUUGUAA
Molecule: long non-coding RNA, 1151 nt
Filed under: Triticum aestivum (bread wheat)
Lineage: Eukaryota; Viridiplantae; Streptophyta; Magnoliopsida; Poales; Poaceae
Description: long non-coding RNA (TAES_LNC014688)
Source: RNAcentral